Molecule: long non-coding RNA, 140 nt
Organism: Sander lucioperca (pikeperch)
Lineage: Eukaryota; Metazoa; Chordata; Actinopteri; Perciformes; Percidae
Exons: 2
Source: RefSeq, a predicted model, not a curated record
UUUUUUGACAAUGCCACGCAGACGCAGACACGCCGCUCGCCCCGUUCGUCCAUUCCACAGACGGAGGAGAGUUGUCCGACACAGACGCUAGGCAACGCUAAUAAACAUGCAUUUUUAGGGCCGGGACAAGUAUAAUGAUC